Molecule: ribosomal RNA, 447 nt
Filed under: uncultured bacterium
Lineage: Bacteria
Description: partial 16S ribosomal RNA
Rfam family: Bacterial small subunit ribosomal RNA
Source: RNAcentral
CGCCAGACUCCUACGGGAGGCAGCAGUGGGGAAUAUUGCACAAUGGGGGAAACCCUGAUGCAGCGACGCCGCGUGAGUGAAGAAGUAUUUCGGUAUGUAAAGCUCUAUCAGCAGGGAAGAAAAAAGACGGUACCUGACUAAGAAGCCCCGGCUAACUACGUGCCAGCAGCCGCGGUAAUACGUAGGGGGCAAGCGUUAUCCGGAUUUACUGGGUGUAAAGGGAGCGUAGACGGUAUGGCAAGUCUGAAGUGAAAGCCCGGGGCUUAACCCUGGGACUGCUUUGGAAACUGUUAGACUAGAGUGCUGGAGAGGUAAGUGGAAUUCCUAGUGUAGCGGUGAAAUGCGUAGAUAUUAGGAGGAACACCAGUGGCGAAGGCGGCUUACUGGACAGUAACUGACGUUGAGGCUCGAAAGCGUGGGGAGCAAACAGGAUUAGAUACCCCCGUA